RNAcentral lists this long non-coding RNA (268 nucleotides) under Lathyrus oleraceus (garden pea). RNAcentral's name for it is "Pisum sativum (pea) long non-coding RNA (PSAT_LNC041732)". The record is from RNAcentral. Lineage: Eukaryota; Viridiplantae; Streptophyta; Magnoliopsida; Fabales; Fabaceae.
UUCCACCAAUUUAUCUAAAAUUUGCUCUCAAAAUAUUACGUAAUGAACGAGUGUCAUCACAACCCCAAACAUACUUCGUUGCUUGUCCUUAAGUAACCUUUUUGCACACUGGAGUUUCGUCGUAAAUAAAAUACUUACCCUUAUCAAUGAACGUCACAUUUUUUAUCACCACUUAUGUUCUCUGAUUUAGUACAAAUAAUUCCAAAAAUUUCAUCCAGCAACACAAGUACUCAACAUGUCUCUCAUCUCACCUUUUUCACUCAGUUUG